AAUCUUUUUUUAAAACAAAUAUUCAUAAGAAACUUGUUUAGGCUUGAAGAAAAUCAGAACCCCUGUGUAUGCCCUCAUCACUUAUCCUGACUCCUCUCCAAAACACUGUCUUGACUUUUAAUGUUAUAAAUAACGUUUACCUGCUUUUGAAUUUAUAUAAAGGGAAUCAUACACUGUGAAUUUCAUGUCUGUGUUUUUCACUCCUAUCUGAUAUUUGUGCAAUUCCUCCAUAUUAUUGCGGUUAUCUGUCGUUUGUUACUGUUCACUGCUGUACUAUGUACAAAGAACACUAAGAAUCCAUUCAAUCCUGUGUC
Molecule: long non-coding RNA, 314 nt
Filed under: Pan troglodytes (chimpanzee)
Lineage: Eukaryota; Metazoa; Chordata; Mammalia; Primates; Hominidae
Description: long non-coding RNA NONPTRT003828
Source: RNAcentral